CCUACGGGAGGCAGCAGUAGGGAAUAUUGCACAAUGGGGGAAACCCUGAUGCAGCAACGCCGCGUGGGUGAAGAAGGGCCUCGGCUUGUAAAGCCCUUUCAGUAGGGAAGAAAAUGACGGUAUCUAACGAAUAAGCACCGGCUAACUACGUGCCAGCAGCCGCGGUAAUACGUAGGGGGCAAGCGUUACUCGGAAUUACUGGGUGUAAAGGGGGCGCAGGCGGGAAAGCAAGUCAGAAGUGAAAGCCUGGGGCCCAACCCCAGGACUGCACUUGAAACUGUUGGGCUUGAGUGUAGGAGGGGCAGGCGGAAUUCGUGGUGUAGCGGUGAAAUGCGUAGAUAUCAGGAGGAAUACUGGUUGCGAAGGCGGCCUGCUGGAACACAACUGACGCUGAGGCGCGAAAGCGUGGGGAGCAAACAGGAUUAGAUACCCGGGUAGUC
This 440-nucleotide ribosomal RNA is filed under the name uncultured bacterium. RNAcentral's name for it is "partial 16S ribosomal RNA". It matches the Rfam family "Bacterial small subunit ribosomal RNA", at positions 338 to 795 of the family's 1533-position model. The record is from RNAcentral.